UCAUUGCUGCAACCGCUCGAAUCAGGUUACGUUAAGAAGAUGCUUCGGCAGAUCACCUGAAUAGGCGAGUCUUAAUCUAGAG
Regulatory RNA element from Planococcus sp. PAMC 21323, 82 nucleotides. The record is from Rfam. NCBI's taxonomy places the organism in Bacteria, Bacillati, Bacillota, Bacilli, Caryophanales, Caryophanaceae.